RNAcentral lists this ribosomal RNA (190 nucleotides) under uncultured bacterium. RNAcentral describes it as "partial 16S ribosomal RNA". It matches the Rfam family "Bacterial small subunit ribosomal RNA", at positions 1311 to 1500 of the family's 1533-position model. The record is from RNAcentral.
CCCGCCUGCAUGAAGUUGGAAUUGCUAGUAAUCGCGGAUCAGCAUGCCGCGGUGAAUACGUUCCCGGGCCUUGUACACACCGCCCGUCACACCAUGAGAGCUGCGAACACCCAAAGCCGGUAGCCUAACCGCAAGGAGGGCGCUGUCUAAGGUGGGCGUGGUAAUUGGGGUGAAGUCGUAACAAGGUAGC